CCAGGGGGCCGGGCAGCCGCGCUAUCCGCAAGGGUAUCGAGGAAAGUCCGGGCUCCACGAAGCAAGGGUGGCGGGUAACGCCCGCCGGGGGUAACCCCAGGGAAAGUGCCACAGAGAGCAGACCGCCGGUUCGCCGGUAAGGGUGAAAGGGUGCGGUAAGAGCGCACCGGGGGGCUGGUAACAGAACCCGCAUGGCAAACCCCACCUGGAGCAAGACCGAAUAGGGGCGGCGCGCCAAGGCCCAUGUCGCAAGACAAGGUCCAAGGCAGGUCAGUUUCGGACCCGACCGCCCGGGUUGGUCGCUUGAGCCGCGCCGCAAGGCCCGGCCUAGAGGAAUGGCUGCCAGUGCGGAUACGGUCUCUUCUGGGAUACCGUCCGCGCUACAGAACCCGGCUUACAGGCCCCCUGGCGUA
This 413-nucleotide RNase P RNA is filed under the name Sphingomonadales bacterium. RNAcentral describes it as "RNase P RNA component class A". It matches the Rfam family "Bacterial RNase P class A". From Rfam's summary of the family: Ribonuclease P (RNase P) is a ubiquitous endoribonuclease, found in archaea, bacteria and eukarya as well as chloroplasts and mitochondria. Its best characterised activity is the generation of mature 5'-ends of tRNAs by cleaving the 5'-leader elements of precursor-tRNAs. The record is from RNAcentral. Lineage: Bacteria; Pseudomonadati; Pseudomonadota; Alphaproteobacteria; Sphingomonadales.